GACGAACGCUGGCGGCGUGCUUAACACAUGCAAGUCGAACGGAAAGGCUCCAGCUUGCUGGAGUGCUCGAGUGGCGAACGGGUGAGUAACACGUGGGCAAUCUGCCCUGCACUCUGGGAUAAGCCUGGGAAACUGGGUCUAAUACCGGAUAGGACCUUUCUCCUCAUGGGGUUUGGUGGAAAGUUUGUCGGUGCAGGAUGAGCCCGCGGCCUAUCAGCUUGUUGGUGGGGUAAUGGCCUACCAAGGCGACGACGGGUAGCCGGCCUGAGAGGGUGAUCGGCCACAUUGGGACUGAGAUACGGCCCAGACUCCUACGGGAGGCAGCAGUGGGGAAUAUUGCACAAUGGGCGAAAGCCUGAUGCAGCGACGCCGCGUGAGGGAUGACGGCCUUCGGGUUGUAAACCUCUUUCAGUAGGGACGAAGCGCAAGUGACGGUACCUGCAGAAGAAGCACCGGCUAACUACGUG
This 467-nucleotide ribosomal RNA is filed under the name uncultured bacterium. RNAcentral describes it as "partial 16S ribosomal RNA". It matches the Rfam family "Bacterial small subunit ribosomal RNA", at positions 28 to 507 of the family's 1533-position model. The record is from RNAcentral.